GUGAGUGCUUUGGGGUGGGGUGACUGCGUACCUUUUGUAUAAUGGGUCAGCGACUUAUAUUCUGUAGCAAGGUUAACCGAAUAGGGGAGCCGGAGGGAAACCGAGUCUUAAUUGGGCGUUAAGUUGCAGGGUAUAGACCCGAAACCCGGUGAUCUAGCCAUGGGCAGGUUGAAGGUUGGGUAACACUAACUGGAGGACCGAACCGACUAAUGUUGAAAAAUUAGCGGAUGACCUGUGGCUGGGGGUGAAAGGCCAAUCAAACCGGGAGAUAGCUGGUUCUCCCCGAAAGCUAUUUAGGUAGCGCCUCGUGAAUUCAUCUCCGGGGGUAGAGCACUGUUUCGGCUAGGGGGCCAUCCCGGCUUACCAACCCGAUGCAAACUGCGAAUACCGGAGAAUGUUAUCACGGGAGACACACGGCGGGUGCUAACGUCCGUCGUGAAGAGGGAAACAACCCAGACCGCCAGCUAAGGUCCCAAAGUCAUGGUUAAGUGGGAAACGAUGUGGGAAGGCCCAGACAGCCAGGAUGUUGGCUUAGAAGCAGCCAUCAUUUAAAGAAAGCGUAAUAGCUCACUGGUCGAGUCGGCCUGCGCGGAAGAUGUAACGGGGCUAAACCAUGCACCGAAGCUGCGGCAGCGACACUGUGUGUUGUUGGGUAGGGGAGCGUUCUGUAAGCCUGCGAAGGUGUCCCGUGAGGGAUGC
Molecule: ribosomal RNA, 699 nt
Filed under: Salmonella enterica subsp. enterica serovar Kentucky
Lineage: Bacteria; Pseudomonadati; Pseudomonadota; Gammaproteobacteria; Enterobacterales; Enterobacteriaceae
Description: partial 23S ribosomal RNA
Rfam family: Bacterial large subunit ribosomal RNA
Source: RNAcentral